RNAcentral lists this ribosomal RNA (529 nucleotides) under Schwanniomyces polymorphus var. polymorphus. RNAcentral describes it as "eukaryotic LSU rRNA". It matches the Rfam family "Eukaryotic large subunit ribosomal RNA", at positions 103 to 648 of the family's 3401-position model. The record is from RNAcentral. Lineage: Eukaryota; Fungi; Ascomycota; Pichiomycetes; Serinales; Debaryomycetaceae.
AAAAGAUCUAAUUUGAAAUCUGGCACCUUCGGUGUCCGAGUUGUAAUUUGAAGAAGGUAACUUUGGAGUUGGCUCUUGUCUAUGUUCCUUGGAACAGGACGUCACAGAGGGUGAGAAUCCCGUGCGAUGAGAUGCCCAAUUCUAUGUAAAGUGCUUUCGAAGAGUCGAGUUGUUUGGGAAUGCAGCUCUAAGUGGGUGGUAAAUUCCAUCUAAAGCUAAAUAUUGGCGAGAGACCGAUAGCGAACAAGUACAGUGAUGGAAAGAUGAAAAGAACUUUGAAAAGAGAGUGAAAAAGUACGUGAAAUUGUUGAAAGGGAAGGGCUUGAGAUCAGACUUGGUAUUUUGCAAGCCUUACCUUCGUGGUGGGGUCCCCUGCAGUUUACUGGGCCAGCAUCGGUUUGGAUGGUAGGAUAAUGACUUGGGAAUGUGACUUUGCUUCGGUAAAGUGUUAUAGCCCUUGUUGAUACUGCCUGUCUAGACCGAGGACUGCGUCUUUGACUAGGAUGCUGGCAUAAUGAUCUUAAGUCGC